CUUGUACAUUAAGCUCAAAACACAGUUAUUAUGCUUUGCUCAACAUUGCAUUAAGGCAAAAUGAGCAAGUUAAACAAGGGGUUACUGGAAAAAAAUACACAUAGGCAUAGACAUACACUGUGAGUUGAAAAGUUUGCAUACGAUAUUACAAGGGACAAAAUAUCAACUAAGAAGAUAAAAUUCAAGGCUUCUCUUUUCAAGCUUUAAAAGAGAAUCUUCACAGCAAAAUUCUUCCUUCUCAUUUCAUCAGUACUUUCCUUGCCUUGCUUGCUGCUUCCAAGGCUCAGCGCAGAAACCUCAGAGCUCUUCAAUACACGAAGCCUCUUCACCAUUGACACAAACAUGUGCCAUGGCACAUCCCCAACAAGCAUCCUGUCUCCUUCAUUAUCCUCAUAAACAAGGGUAUAUUCCCCACUUCCAUCCAAUACGCCCAUAAACGCUUUCUCUUCCUCUUGCUCACUCAUGAUUCCACCAGCAGAGGAAUCUCUUUGAGCUGUUAGGAGGCCUCUGAAGAGUUCAUCAACAACAGUGGACAGUUUCUCAUAGCUGUCAUAGGCUGUAAGAUCUACUUUCCUUCCAAUGGGAACACCAUCCAUAUUGAUCUUUACAAACAUCCCUUUUUUGCAAGUUUCAACUGGUUUUUCACUAGCAA
This 652-nucleotide unclassified non-coding RNA is filed under the name Hevea brasiliensis (rubber tree). Lineage: Eukaryota; Viridiplantae; Streptophyta; Magnoliopsida; Malpighiales; Euphorbiaceae. The record is from RNAcentral.